UCUCGAUUGGUCUAGUGGUCAGGAUACCUGCUUGUCAUCACCGUUUGUCUCUAGACGAAUAUUGAGUGCGCAGGUGGCCGGGGUUCGAUUCCCCGAUCGAGAG
This 103-nucleotide transfer RNA is filed under the name Annulohypoxylon nitens. Its description in RNAcentral is "tRNA-Asp". It matches the Rfam family "tRNA". Rfam says of the family: Transfer RNA (tRNA) molecules are approximately 80 nucleotides in length. Their secondary structure includes four short double-helical elements and three loops (D, anti-codon, and T loops). Further hydrogen bonds mediate the characteristic L-shaped molecular structure. tRNAs have two regions of fundamental functional importance: the anti-codon, which is responsible for specific mRNA codon recognition, and the 3' end, to which the tRNAs corresponding amino acid is attached (by aminoacyl-tRNA synthetases). tRNAs cope with the degeneracy of the genetic code in two manners: having more than one tRNA (with a specific anti-codon) for a particular amino acid; and 'wobble' base-pairing, i.e. permitting non-standard base-pairing at the 3rd anti-codon position. The record is from RNAcentral. Lineage: Eukaryota; Fungi; Ascomycota; Sordariomycetes; Xylariales; Hypoxylaceae.